Microcebus murinus (gray mouse lemur) is the source of this 3893-nucleotide non-coding RNA. The record is from RefSeq and is a predicted model, not a curated record. NCBI's taxonomy places the organism in Eukaryota, Metazoa, Chordata, Mammalia, Primates, Cheirogaleidae.
CUGUGGGUGAAAGAAUUCAUUUUUCAGACAUGAGCCUCCACCCAUUGUGUGCUUAGAAGCCUGUCUCUCUUAACCUUUCUCUGGGAUGGCAGAUGCAAAUGUUCCUGAUGUCACUGUCAGGAAAGGGGAUUGAGUGGGUAUGUUCCAUGCUUGAGUUCUGGAGCCUAGGAGAGUUACAAACUAGAGUCCAGUACCUUAUUCAUCAUUCUCCUGUGUGAACAGCUGUGGUGUGAGGUCCGAGCCUAGGGUCUUCCUACCAUCUCUGAGGGAACAAAAUUCUCAACCAGCCUGAGAUGUUUCUGUUAUAGUGAGGCGUAAUUUUUGGUGGUGGUGGUGGGGACUCAGGUGUUAUUUCCACACACUUUGUUUUAAAAGCUAGACAUCUUACACGGGAGAGGUGGCAUGGUGAGUCAGUGUGGGAUCAGAAGAACCAGUCCAAAAAGUAGAGUAGGGCAAAGUUCAGGGCAUUGAGGGCUACUGCAUGUGGUGACACGAAAGGGAGAUGUCUGAAUAGGAAGGACAUGCUAUAUUGCUUAUUCUCUCUGGGUCUCAAUUUACUCAUCUAAAAUGGGAUCAUUUAUUCAUUGGACAUUCAUUAAGCUCUUGUCCUGAGCACUGUGUCAGGCACUAGACUAAAAAUUAAACUCUCCCCUGAGAAUUGUUCUGAAGGCUAAAAUGUGAAAUAUGUAAAAAUAACAGUAAAGUGCAAUGCAAAUGCAGCUACUCAAUGUGUGGGCAUUAUAGGGAAUUUUGAUGUUCUUUUUCUUUUCUUUCUCUUUAGUGAGAAUAUUUUUCUUGUGUACCAAAAAGGAAUUUGCAGUGUUGGUUGUUAACAUGAUCAUCAUUGUCACUGCCUUCUUCACUCGCUUUUUUGUUGCCUCCGGGCCAUUGCAGGUUUGUCAUGGGGACACUUCUCACCACCUAAAUGACCAAAGAGAUAAAGCGCUUUCUUAGGACUGGAGUGAAGAAGGCCAAUGCUGGUUUCUCCUAGGGAAAGGGGCUGGAGGAAGGAGAGCACUGAACACAGAUUACUUCUGAGACCUCUGGUCACCAAAAUGUGUGGGGAUGUCUCCCUACAAGCAGUCCUCCAGUGGCCAACGCCAGGGAGGUGUCCGCUAAUUCAGUGAUCCCCAAACUAUGCAUUCAUAUACAUUUAUUGUCUGUGAUGGCCCAUCCCGCCACCCCAUCAGCCGGAGUGCGUGGUCUCUGCUGUGAGCUGCCAUGUGACAGUAAGGAAGAGACGCUUCUCAGACUCAUCUAGAAGAAGCCAAUAGGACCUCACAGGAGCUGAAGGUAAAGUACAGCAAUAUUUGGAGUGUGGCAGAAGACGACUCCAAGAGGACAUGACAGUGGCCUGUGUGGUUUGGCCCAUUGAGGAAGAGCUGGAGAGGACAGCCCAGCCUGCCCGGGAACAGCCACCACAGCGAUCUCAACAGCUAACACGACGGAGCAUACUUUAGGUGCUAUUAAUGUUUUAUCCAGAAAACAGGAGCAAUCAGGAAGGAGCUGCCUUGUGUCUCUACCCCAGGAAUUACAAUCCUAUUUGCAUGUGAACCAUGUACAUCACCUCCCCUACGGGUUCCUUUGCUCUCCUGCGUAGAUGAUGGCUCCUUCCCUCUUACCGCAUGAUUCCUGUGAAUCCACUAAUGUGCUCUGUAGCAUCUCCCAUCUUGAAUGUAAAAUCCCUCUUUCGAUCCCAUGGCUCCUUCCGGCUACCCCUGCAUUUCUCUGUCCCCACCAAGUCCUUGCCUUAUGUUCUCCCCUCCGCCCAGUCCAGUUAGGCUUCUGUCCUCAAGCCCUUCCUCACCGACAGGGUCACUGACAGCCUCUUUCCAGCCAAAUCCAAUGGCCAGGUGCCCGUUACUCAGGUCCUCGUUGGACCUGGCAGGCCAUGUUCUCCUCAUCCAGCUUUCCCUGUUCUCUCCCCUCUCCUGACGUUCCUCUCACCGGGCAGGCUCCUCUGCGUCUCCUUUGAUGCUCCAUCUGUUCCUUCCAGCCUCACUGCACCGUUGUGCCCAGCACUCAGAUUUCAGCCGUUCUCUCUUUUCCAGCUACAGUCUCACAUUAGGUGGCUUCUUGUGUCCCACAGCAUUAUAUGCCUUGUUCAUGCCAGUUACUCCUGAAUCUGAAUCUCAAGGAAGAUUCAAAUUUUAUAGUCAACUGACUAUUUGACAUCUUCACGUGGAUAUCUAAUAAGUAUCUCAAAUAUAACUUGGCCAAAAUACAGAAAUUUUGACCUCCGCACCUUGACCCCUUCUCCAGCCUUCUCCAUUUUCCCUUAAAUGCCCCCAUUUACACAGUUAGUCAGCCCUCAAACCAUGACUCCCCUUGACUCCUCUUGUCCCUACAUUUCCCACAUUGAUGCCACCUGCCGGUUCUGUUGUCUUUGUCCCCGGAAUAUAUUGCUCACCAUUGCUCUCCUGUUACCCUGGUCCAAGAUGCCAUUCACUCCUGCGUAGUCCCUUGCCACAGCCUCUGACUGGUCCCUCUGCUCCCACUCUUGGCACCCGACUCUCCUAUGCCCAGGGUCCAGGUCUGUUCUUUGUACAACAGCUAGAGUGGCAUUUUAAAGCCAUAAGUGAGAUCGUUCCUUCUGUGUUUAAGAAUGUCCUCUGGCUUUGCAUCACACACCACAUCCACCCAGCUCCCACGGAGGUCUGGCCCUCACCUGCCUCCCCAUCCUCCUCUCAGCCCUCUGCCUGCUCACUCUGCUUCAGCCACGCUGGCCUUCACACCGUGCCUCACUCCUGCUAAGCCCACUUUCAACCUCGGGGGCUUUGCACUCUUUGUUUCCUUUUCUUGGCAUGCCACUGCCCCAAAUCCUUGCACGAUUGGUACCCUCUCUACAUCGGGGCCUCUGCUCAAAAUACCUUCUCAGAGGAGCCUCCCCUGGCCACCUCACCUGAAUAGGACCUCUCAUUGCACCCACCCAUUUCUCCUCUAUCCUUUUCUCCUGCUUGGUUAUUUUCCAUCACUGAGGAGGAACUGAACCACAGAAUGUUGGAGCUGAUGACCAGGGCUUGCCCCCACCCCCUCAUUAUUGCAAAGGAGGAAAUGAAGUCAGAGGGAAGAUGGGCCCAGGACUUCCACUCCAGUUCUCUUCCCCACACCCAGGCAUCAAAGGAAGAUUAGGUGGCAUGACUGCGGUCACAGCCCUGACAUCAGCUGUGGACACUCUUGGCGUUCAUCUGACCCAGUGGACACACUCCCCGGGCAGGCAGCCGCAUGAGCAGUGGAGGGAAGGCCAGAGUGGCCUUGGUGUUUCAUCAUGUUUGCUCUUCUCUUAGUCUCCAACAGGUCAGAACAGUAGGCUUCCUACAUCCCUAAUCUUAGGAAGUUAAAUUGCCCUGAGAUAUCAGAACCCCUGGGAUAUGAAACAAAGGGGAAGUAUAAGUGUUCAGUGCCCAGUGAAGGACUCUACCAACUUCUUGUUGUUCUGGUGGUUGUCCAUUCUUUAGCUCCAACAUGACUGAAAGAAGACUUGAAUAGGUGGUUGUUUAAAUCAUUAAAAAUAAUUUUGGGUGAUAGGCGACUAUGUGACUUUUGGCAAGUGAUUUUUGGAAGGAUUUUAAAUAACUGAGUGACAAUGCUCUGAUACACUCCCUUUCAUUUCCAUCUACUUAUUAUUUAUAAGUACCAGCUUUCUCAGAGCUUAUGUUUAAAAAGCCAAAGUAAAAAUAAAGCCAAUAUUGAAUUCUUAUUCUAAUUAGGAGUAAUAUAUAAAUUUAUGAAAUAAUUUUUAAAAGGUCUAUCUCCUUAAGAUAUAUUGCUAAUAAAAAUCAACAUUUGAAAUAUAGUUGUUAUUUUGAUCAAUUGUAUACUAACGAGGAUAACUCAAUCUGGAAAAAUUAAAAAAUGUAGUAUCCUGUGCUUACAUAAAUAUGUAAUAAAUU